GACGUAGGUGGCAAGCGUUGUCCGGAAUUAUUGGGCGUAAAGCGCGCGCAGGCGGUCCUUUAAGUUGGAUGUGAAAGCCCACGGCUCAACCGUGGAGGGUCAUUGGAAACUGGAGGACUUGAGUGUAGAAGAGGAAAGUGGAAUUCCACGUGUAGCGGUGAAAUGCGUAGAGAUGUGGAGGAACACCAGUGGCGAAGGCGACUUUCUGGUCUGUAACUGACGCUGAGGCGCAAAAGCGUGGGGAGCAAACAGG
This 253-nucleotide unclassified non-coding RNA is filed under the name uncultured Caryophanaceae bacterium. RNAcentral's name for it is "uncultured Planococcaceae bacterium contains 16S-23S intergenic spacer region". It matches the Rfam family "Bacterial small subunit ribosomal RNA", at positions 524 to 776 of the family's 1533-position model. Lineage: Bacteria; Bacillati; Bacillota; Bacilli; Caryophanales; Caryophanaceae. The record is from RNAcentral.